RNAcentral lists this ribosomal RNA (492 nucleotides) under uncultured bacterium. Its description in RNAcentral is "partial 16S ribosomal RNA". It matches the Rfam family "Bacterial small subunit ribosomal RNA", at positions 29 to 507 of the family's 1533-position model. The record is from RNAcentral.
AGUGAACGCUGGCGGUAGGCCUAACACAUGCAAGUCGAACGGCAGCACAGUAAGAGCUUGCUCUUACGGGUGGCGAGUGGCGGACGGGUGAGGAAUACAUCGGAAUCUACUUUUUCGUGGGGGAUAACGUAGGGAAACUUACGCUAAUACCGCAUACGACCUACGGGUGAAAGCAGGGGAUCUUCGGACCUUGCGCGAUUGAAUGAGCCGAUGUCGGAUUAGCUAGUUGGCGGGGUAAAGGCCCACCAAGGCGACGAUCCGUAGCUGGUCUGAGAGGAUGAUCAGCCACACUGGAACUGAGACACGGUCCAGACUCCUACGGGAGGCAGCAGUGGGGAAUAUUGGACAAUGGGCGCAAGCCUGAUCCAGCAAUACCGCGUGGGUGAAGAAGGCCUUCGGGUUGUAAAGCCCUUUUGUUGGGAAAGAAAAGCAGCAGGUUAAUACCCCGCUGUUCUGACAGUACCCAAAGAAUAAGCACCGGCUAACUUCGUG